AUUGAACGCUGGCGGCAGGCCUAACACAUGCAAGUCGAACGGUAACAGGAAGAAGCUUGCUUCUUUGCUGACGAGUGGCGGACGGGUGAGUAAUGUCUGGGAAACUGCCUGAUGGAGGGGGAUAACUACUGGAAACGGUAGCUAAUACCGCAUAACGUCGCAAGACCAAAGAGGGGGACCUUCGGGCCUCUUGCCAUCGGAUGUGCCCAGAUGGGAUUAGCUAGUAGGUGGGGUAACGGCUCACCUAGGCGACGAUCCCUAGCUGGUCUGAGAGGAUGACCAGCCACACUGGAACUGAGACACGGUCCAGACUCCUACGGGAGGCAGCAGUGGGGAAUAUUGCACAAUGGGCGCAAGCCUGAUGCAGCCAUGCCGCGUGUAUGAAGAAGGCCUGCGGGUUGUAAAGUACUUUCAGCGGGGAGGAAGGGAGUAAAGUUAAUACCUGUACUCAUUGACGUUACCCGCAGAAGAAGCACCGGCUAACUCCGU
Molecule: ribosomal RNA, 489 nt
Filed under: uncultured bacterium
Lineage: Bacteria
Description: partial 16S ribosomal RNA
Rfam family: Bacterial small subunit ribosomal RNA
Source: RNAcentral